GACAAAGAGAAGAGAGGGACUCACUGAGAAGACAGGAAUGAUGGAGAGACUGAGCAAAGAGGAAGGACUACCUGUCAUGCUACCCAUACAUCUUACUACAACCUGCAGAUCACAGACUGAAACCUCCCUGACUAGAAGGGAAUGAAAAUUUUACUUGUCAAGAAAGUUUUAAUUACCAAGAUUGUUCUGCAGACUCAUUCAGAAAAAAAAGCACAAGAAAAAUCUUGAAAUUGUCUAAAGAGAAAAGGUUCUCAAAAAGCUUAUCAAGAAGAACCUAAAGAGGACACCCACAGAACUUACAUAAGGGCUCCUUGAGAAUGUCAUUUUGGAUCCACAGAGCAAAUAUGUACAGACAAGACACUGUGAUUUCAGUUUUGUGAAGAAAUGGGUGUUCAGAUUGAGCCAAUUAAGGUUUCGCAUGGCUGAGAUAAAAGUUUUGUCAUUAUUGAAUCUAGGAUUUAAAAACAAAGUAAGUGAUAAUGGCUUACUUUUAUAUAAUAAACAGCAUAGGGUUCCCACUAAUUGAGUAAGAAGAGCAAUUAACCUUUUUGUGCAUCAGUGUUCCUGUUUUGAAAUAUUUGUAAAUUAGGUGAUUUGAGUGUUUUAGCUUUAAUACCCUGGUGAAGCAGGUCUGGGUUUUCCAGAAUUCAUGAAAAACUCAUCUACUAAAAUUUUUUGUAAGUUCAGUAGUGCAAGUAUGAGGAAUGUAUGAUGUUAGCCAGCAAAAUAAUGUGCAUAGUCCAUUAGUGUACAUGAGCCAACUAUUAGUGUGGUUUAUACAUGCAUAUGGAUAGUAAAAAGAGAAAAGCCAUUCUAUUUGGUUGGGGCUUUUUUGUUAGAAUAAAAGUAGAUCUUGUAUCUGUCUUCUGUGUUAACCAAAGACAGAGAAAGGUGUAGCUUUGCAGAGAUUUUCAUGCUGAAGCUUUAUCUACUUUAUUGCUUUCUUUUUUUCCCCCCCAAUAUACAACAUUUCUUAUAGGAGUGUAAUUUCUAUGCUAUAGAAGAAAAAAAAGCCCAACUUUGAGAAAAAUAGCCAGAUACAAGCAGAACCAAACUUUGGUCAAGAAAAGACCAUUCUCUUGCAAACCUGCUCUUGUCCAGAAGCUAUAUAGCCUGCUGUACUCUGUCAUGCCAUGCUUUGUUUUUCCAUGGUAAAUAGGCAGAAUGACUAGGAAAAUAUUACAGUGAUAUUUCCUGAUAGCUUAAGGGGACUUUGCACAGGUUAUAUGUCUCAGAAUAGCUCCAUGGAUGAAAGAAAAUGAUUUAAAGCCCAUAGAUUUAAAGGCCAUGGGGGAACAGUUUUAUCCUAAUGCUGGUCUUGAUAUUUCACUUAAAUAUAAUCACUUAGUGCUUGACUCUGAUAGCUAAGGUGACUUUUUUCCCCUCAUUCAACUCAAUGAAAGGGUCCCUCUGGUAUUUUUAUAUUCUCUGACGCUUGAUUCACUGUCUAAGUCACAUGCUAUGGUUUCUCCACUAUCACAUUAUUUAAUUCAAUAUCAUAAUCUACAGUUAUGCAAAGAGAUUUAAGCCUUGCUAUGAGGAUCCAGUUCUGCAAGCUGUGAUGACAACAUAUGCUGGAGGAGUAAACCUGGCCACUUGGGAUUUUGUGGAGAAUACCAAUUCCAAUAGAUGAGUAUGGUCUAAGAGCAUUCUUUUUAAAUUUGUC
Long non-coding RNA from Gallus gallus (chicken), 1666 nucleotides. Lineage: Eukaryota; Metazoa; Chordata; Aves; Galliformes; Phasianidae. The record is from Ensembl.